CUCAUAUUUUCAUUUCCUCUGUUUGUGCUUCUUCCACUUUUCUCACUCAAAUGGCAUACUCAAAGGUGAUAAUUGCUCUAAUGUUGGCGUUUAUCGCCGGAUCUGCUUUCGCACAGGCACCGGGAACAUCUCCGGCAGCUUCUCCGAAGAUUUCACCGGCACCGGUAGCAUCACCACCGGUGGCGACUCCUCCUCCUACUACAUCAACACCACCUAUCGUUGCCCCUGCAAAUCCUCCUACUACUGCAUCUUCUCCAUCUGACUCUCCAUUAGCUUCUCCACCAGCUCCACCAACUGCCGAGACUCCGGCGUCGUCUCCUUCCGGUGCUGCUUCUCCUCCAUCCAUUGCCGCCGCUCCCGGAAGUUCUCCUACUGAAUCUCCAAACUCUGCUUCCUUGAACAGAGUCGCCGUCGCCGGAUCUGCUGUUGUAGCUGUGUUUGCUGCUGCUUUGAUGCUUUAAAUCUCUGAUCUGUGAGAUAUUUUGCGUUUUUUUAUUCGCCGGAAUUGAUGAGUUCACGUUUUUAUUUAUGGUUUAGAUUUAGAUUCACUAUCGCUAUUGAUUGAUUUAUUUGUACUAUAUAUUUUUAUUAGUAAAUAUUAUUAGGUGAUUCUUUGUUUAUUU
This 623-nucleotide unclassified non-coding RNA is filed under the name Hevea brasiliensis (rubber tree). Lineage: Eukaryota; Viridiplantae; Streptophyta; Magnoliopsida; Malpighiales; Euphorbiaceae. The record is from RNAcentral.